RNAcentral lists this non-coding RNA (1177 nucleotides) under Zootermopsis nevadensis. RNAcentral describes it as "Eukaryotic large subunit ribosomal RNA". The stretch from base 608 to 976 matches the Rfam family "Eukaryotic large subunit ribosomal RNA", at positions 2425 to 2807 of the family's 3401-position model. Lineage: Eukaryota; Metazoa; Arthropoda; Insecta; Blattodea; Termopsidae. The record is from Rfam by way of RNAcentral.
ACUGAUUGGCAAACAAUUAAUUUAGCUGAAGUUAGAAGUUUUUAAGACAGUUUUGUGUUGUAGCAAGAUUGAAAGAAACAAUUAUUGGAGUAUACUGACAUUCCAGAGGUGUUCUUUAUUCCACGUCAAGUAGAUUGUUCUUGCACAAAUGCCAUCUAAGGUCUUUGCACCUUAAACCAUUCUUGCACUAAUAUUAUCACAGGCUGUUGUGGUUUAUAACAUUCUUGUAUUAAUUUGACCUGAUGCUGUUGUUGCACAACAGUUGAACUUGACCCAAGACCUGCUCUCCACAUGGUUGGGGAAAUGUAACCAACCAAACAAGUUUUAUUGAGCAUGAACCUUAUUAAAUUUAUUUUAUGUACAUAAUGUACACAAAUGAAAAUUUUACUUUCGAAACUUUUUUCAGUAAUUUCGAAAAAAAAUUAUUUUGUGCGCUUUUAAGGCAAUUUCCAGAAUUUUUUUAUUUUUAAAAUACUUUUAAAAAUUUGAUUUUUUUUUAAUUUUUACUGCUAGAUUCAUACAAGAACUGGUCUCUGCCAAACCCGAUCUAACAGAGGACACUCUGUCUCACCCGAUCUGUGCUUCAACCUGUAUCCGUCAGAUACGAUCUCUGUUUUACACGGUCUCUGCCAGACUCCGCAUGUCUCAGAGGUUAGGUUGGGUUACGUUAGGUAAAGGUAGGCCCGAGACUGUCAUAAGGAUAUCGGACCUUACUGAGACAGGGUCUUUCAGAGAAUUUGCGACAGUGCCCCGCGUGAUCCGAUCUGAGGACACUGUCAGGCGGGGAGUUUGACUGGGGCGGUACAUCUGUCAAAGGAUAACGCAGGUGUCCUAAGGCCAGCUCAGCGAGGACAGAAACCUCGCGUGGAGCAAAAGGGCAAAAGCUGGCUUGAUCCCGAUGUUCAGUACGCAUAGGGACUGCGAAAGCACGGCCUAUCGAUCCUUUUAGCUUGGAGAGUUUCCAGCAAGAGGUGUCGUCGGUUACGUCGAAGACCGGAUGAUGCAGAUCACUAUACUGACAGUGAUCGUGUGGGGAGAAUUUUUGAAUUUUUUUUUUGAUAUUUUUCCAAAUUUUCAAAAAUUCAAAAAACCUGGAAGUUUUCUAAAAAGCGCACAAAACCAAAAAAAAUUUAAUAUUUUGUAUUCUAAGUUUUUUAAAAAUUUCAAAUUGUUUGCU